UGGCCGCGGGAAGGCUGGAGCCGUUCUGGCUGGCACCGGGGUCUACGCCCUCCUGCCGGAGGCUGGCUCUCGCCUCUGCUCCCUUCCUGGGUUCUGCGCCGCCACCCCUCACCCACGCCGCUUAUCUUCCCUCCCUUUGCACGCUCCCGCGGGACAGGGAGAGUUACAGGCUUCAGACUUUAUCUCGUUGUGGAAAGCAAGAGACCAAGCCAAAAACUUUGGUCGUGCUUUUCAACAUCUCCGGUCAAAAGAGGUCGCCAAUCUGCUUUUCUCCCAUUGCUGCGUCUUAGAGGGGUGUGGUGCCAUGAUACCACUUUUGAAAAUCCUGUUGAAUGCAAGUCCUCUUUGUUGCUCAUUGAACAAUGAGGAUAUUUAGCUCCCCUCAGAGCUACCCUCAGAGUUGGAUGAGCUAUCCUCAGAGUUGGAUGCCACCACCGGGAGCAGCAAAAGCGAAGGCAACUCAUGAUUCUGCCUCAGAAGCAAUCGAAUAAAAUAUUUUGAAAAUGAA
This 508-nucleotide long non-coding RNA is filed under the name Homo sapiens (human). RNAcentral's name for it is "non-protein coding CHL1-AS2:3". The record is from RNAcentral. Lineage: Eukaryota; Metazoa; Chordata; Mammalia; Primates; Hominidae.